This 207-nucleotide ribosomal RNA is filed under the name uncultured bacterium. RNAcentral describes it as "partial 16S ribosomal RNA". It matches the Rfam family "Bacterial small subunit ribosomal RNA", at positions 568 to 774 of the family's 1533-position model. The record is from RNAcentral.
CGAGUAGGCGGAUCUGCAAGUCAGAUGUGAAAUCCCGGGGCUCAACCCCGGAACUGCAUUUGAAACUGUAGACCUUGAGUGAUGGAGAGGCAGGCGGAAUUCCCGGUGUAGCGGUGGAAUGCGUAGAUAUCGGGAGGAACACCAGUGGCGAAGGCGGCCUGCUGGACAUUAACUGACGCUGAGGAGCGAAAGCGUGGGGAGCAAACA